RNAcentral lists this ribosomal RNA (475 nucleotides) under uncultured bacterium. RNAcentral describes it as "bacterial SSU rRNA". It matches the Rfam family "Bacterial small subunit ribosomal RNA", at positions 28 to 499 of the family's 1533-position model. The record is from RNAcentral.
GAUGAACGCUGGCGGCGUGCCUAACACAUGCAAGUCGAACGAAGCUUGACGGAUGAUUUCUUCGGAAUGAAACCAGAUAUGACUUAGUGGCGGACGGGUGAGUAACACGUGAGCAACCUGCCUUUCAGAGGGGGAUAACGGCUGGAAACGGUCGCUAAUACCGCAUGACGUGUUCGGAUGGCAUCAUCUGAACAUCAAAGAUUUAUCGCUGAAAGAUGGGCUCGCGUCUGAUUAGAUAGUUGGUGGGGUAACGGCCUACCAAGUCGACGAUCAGUAGCCGGACUGAGAGGUUGAACGGCCACAUUGGGACUGAGAUACGGCCCAGACUCCUACGGGAGGCAGCAGUGGGGAAUAUUGCACAAUGGGGGAAACCCUGAUGCAGCAACGCCGCGUGAAGGAUGACGGUUUUCGGAUUGUAAACUUCUUUUCUUAGUGACGAAGACAGUGACGGUAGCUAAGGAAUAAGCAUCGGCUA